UACGUAGGUGGCAAGCGUUGUCCGGAUUUACUGGGCGUAAAGAGCGCGCAGGCGGUCGAGUAAGUCGAAUGUGAAAGCCCCCGGCUUAACUGGGGAGGGUCAUUCGAUACUGUUCGACUUGAAGGCAGGAGAGGGCAGCAGAAUUCCCGGUGUAGUGGUGAAAUGCGUAGAUAUCGGGAGGAACACCAGUGGCGAAGGCGACUACCUGGCCUGUUCUUGACGCUGAGGCGCGAAAGCUAGGGGAGCAAACGGG
RNAcentral lists this ribosomal RNA (253 nucleotides) under uncultured bacterium. RNAcentral describes it as "partial 16S ribosomal RNA". It matches the Rfam family "Bacterial small subunit ribosomal RNA", at positions 524 to 776 of the family's 1533-position model. The record is from RNAcentral.